Oncorhynchus tshawytscha (Chinook salmon) is the source of this 2811-nucleotide long non-coding RNA. The record is from Ensembl. Lineage: Eukaryota; Metazoa; Chordata; Actinopteri; Salmoniformes; Salmonidae.
UUGUUCAUCAAAUCAUACUUUAUUGAAAGUUGUUUUUCCUUGUACUAAAAAUAAAACUAUUACAUUGAGUCAUAACCUGAAAUUGAACAGCAUCAACUAUAAAACUCACUGCUUGGCAAGGUGGAAACUGGCUUCAAAUCAUUCUAAGACGACACAAAACCACAUCUAGUGGGAAACAGACAAAUCCUUGUCAAAACGGCUCUACAUUUCAAGUGUAGAUCAAACUAUUGAAAACUGGCUGAAAACGUUCAUGAGAUUAAACACAAUUCAGGACACUAUCCAAAAUGAAACGAUUAGCACAAAUAUUGGUUACAAACUUCUUAUUUUAUAUUCAGCCAAUUACAUUUUAGAAAAAUAUAUCAAAUAUUUAUUUCAGAAAAAUAUAUUUGCAGACAGGAUUAUCCAUUUCAAAAAAAGGUUAACAAUUAUAUAACUUUAAAAAGUUUUUAACUUAUCAAUAUUACUAUUUACAUUUAUAUUUUCUGGCAGCUUUAGAAAGCAGUCUUGAUACUGGGACAAUACGUAUUUUAUUUCAUUUAAUACAUCCAUUGACAUUAAAGGAGUAUCCACAUUACAGUGUAAAGUUUCAGUAUUACUUGUGGCUUGAUGGCUCCUUCCUUAUGGUUGUGUGUAGACUACACUGUAGUGGUUAUCUUUCCAUUCAAACAGAAUGUUAGUAAGACGGUAUGAAAUCACCAUGUCUACUGUCUGGUUAGUAGCCAUUUCCCCCAUACCCAGUGUUAGGUAGUGUAAACAUGCGAGGCUAUACAUGAAGCAGUACAGUGCUUGUGGUUAAUAACAGCUAGAAAAGGCAAGGCACACUGAUAAAACGGUUCACAGCCACAUACACAAUGACUUGAUCAAGCACUCAAUCAAUCGAUCAUUCUCUUCAUCCUCAAGGAUCCUUCAGUUCUUCAAACGAUCUCUGAUCAUGACGAUAACCGAUCAAUACCCCAUGAUGUGGUUAAUGUGGCCCUGAGAAGAGACUCAUUAUGUGACACAGGUAAUCUUUAUGGAAUUAACCGUUUACAUGAUGGUAGCAUUCCAAAUGGCACCCUCUCCACUAUGUAGUGCACUAUGUGGGGAACGGGGUAGUGCACCACGUGGGGAACAGGGUAGUGCACUACGUGGGGAACAGGGUAGUGCACUACGUGGGGAACAGGGUAGUGCACCACGUGGGGAACAGGGUAGUGCACUACGUGGGGAACAGGGUAGUGCACUAUAUAGGGAAUAGGGUGCCAUUUGGGACUGAACCCAUGUCAUGUUCAUUAAUCAGUCCCUCCAGCAUUCUGAUGGGAUUUUUGCAGAGCAAACGGCUUGACUUUGCUGCGGCAAUCCUGACAUUUUGCAUGGCUAUGAUUUAGUCCAAUUUGUCGUGAAACUGAGCUGACGGGGGGGAAGAUUUGUUGAUGCGUGGCUUCAUUUAAACACAUUAUGUAGUAAAUGUACUCUGAUUGGUUGAAAUUGCAAGCCCUAUUUUUGUACUGCGGGCGAUGGGCCUGGUUUAUGUGACAACAUUGCGAUGAUUUGACUGUCGCACGUGGAAAGAGUGCAGUGAUUGGUCAAAUGUACAAGUCCCCGCAUAAUACGCAGGGAAUUAUUGAUUUAGCAAUAAAUAAAUACAAAUAAUUGCAGAAACCUGGAGGGACUGAUUAACCCGUUUAACAUGAAAAAGUCCAGAACGUCGACUCGGCCCAAGGUGAGCAUGAACAGCAAAGGGCUCCAUGGUCAAUAUGGUAGGUUCUUUAGCCCGAGGGACAGCCCUUCUAAAAUAGGCAUCUUUUAUUAUGUUGAUUUUAUAGGUGCAACAAUUGUCCCCAAAGUAAGAGACAUAAUAUCCCAUAUUAGUUAUUAGGAAUGUUUGACUAUAUGUGCUAUAGCUGUUAAAUCCCGAUUGCCACUGAUGAGACAUUAGUUUUGGUGUACAAAAUGCUGGGUUUAGGCCUAGACACUGACAUCAGUCACUACUGGGACAUGUUCAGGCAAAACAUCAGGACACUACUUACGGGCUCCCCUGCCAGGCACCGAUUACAACAUUGGCUGCCUUGGACUGCAUAGACCUGUACAAGAGACAACACGAGCCUGGAGGGUUACUACGGCAAUAAGUACACUCGAUUACUUAAUGGAUUGUCAUAUUGUAGUUCUGCAAUAAAACAUUUUUGAGGAUAAACACUGCAUAGAAGACAAGACUAUUCAAAGUAAAACGAAUUAUGACAGAAGGACAAAUCCACAGUGGAGUGAAAAGAUAUUCAAAUAUAAAAUGUCAACAGUGUGGCACUAGCCACAUUCCUUGGGUAAGGAUGAGAUGCAAUUUCCCAAACAGUUAUUGCUUCCUUGACAUCACCAGCAUUGAGGAAAAAAAACUGUCGUAAAGAUAGCCAAGGGUACACCUUAUAGAGAUACAGAUAUUGAGGAAGCAUGUUGUCAUGGAUACGCCUAGUGUCCCUUACUGCUUGACCUAUGAACCUUUAUUACGACUCCAGCGUCAUCAUGAUUCAAGGAGGAAAACAUGGACCGUAAAAACACUCCUGCAAAUGCAUGUGGGAGGCCAACUCCUUUCAAAUAUAGGCCUAGACUGGAGCAACAAAAGUAUCCAAAAUAGUUGAAUAUGCCCCCCAAAAUAUAUAUAUUCCAAAAUAAUUGAAUACGCAUAUCUACCAUGUUAGAAGCUGGGUGGUUGAUGCCGACACCGCUGUUUGGGACACCCUGCUGUUGCAUGCUGGCAUCCAUGGCACCGUCAGUCACCAUCCCGCCAUGUUCAACCCGGACGCAGACUCCCACUCCGUUGCACAGUCGUUUCUGAGGAUUCAG